Lolium perenne is the source of this 1427-nucleotide non-coding RNA. The record is from RefSeq and is a predicted model, not a curated record. NCBI's taxonomy places the organism in Eukaryota, Viridiplantae, Streptophyta, Magnoliopsida, Poales, Poaceae.
AAAUUGAUGCAAAUGAUUCAUCCCCAUGUAAAGAAUGGAGAAGAUUUGUGAGAUUGCUUUUAAUUGUUGAUUCAUCCCUAUGCAUUUUUCUUGGGCAAAUACGAAUAUAUACAUGCUUACUUUGAUGCCUAAAAGCUUUGGAAAGUUGCAAAAAUGUCUCUGUACUCUCUGUCGUUGUUCCUGAUGUUUGGCUCGCGAGCCAGCUCGAGCUGGACCGAGCCAAAGGCAAGCUCGAGCCGAGCCCCUUUUUCAGGCUCGUGAGACAAACGAGCCAGCCCGAGCCGAGCCAAUUUGGAGCGAGCGAAACUCAGGCUCGCGCCGAGCCCAGCUCGAGCUGGCUCGUGUCCAGCCUUACAGACGACGACGACAAACAGCAGAGGCGAGCGAUCGCCUGCGUUUACUCGUCGCAUACCGGCUCAUGGGGUAAUCUCAUCUCAACGCAACUUCCAUCCGAGGUUUCUGGCAGUGACGAUCCCAUUGAUAUUGGUGAUUUCCCCUCCUUGGUUUAUACUGGUAAACCUGAUGUGCUUGCUGGGAAUUCCAUCUACUGGAUGGUCAAUGGGAAUUUCGUUGGAAUUCUAGAGUUCGAUUUGGGAAAGCAAAGCCUAGCUGUGAUACGGGUGCCAGCGCGUAUGCUUGAACAUGGCCAUUUCUGGAUUGUGCGGGCACAGGGGGGUGGCCUUGGUCUACUCUUCCUCACGGACAGCAACCUCCAAUCGUGGAAUUGGAGGAUUGAUUGUGAUGGUGUUGCUUCAUGGGCACUUGCAAGAACUAUUGAACUGAAUAAGCUACUUUCCCUAGAUACAAAUACCAAGAUAGUACUAGGUUUUGCUGAGGAAAACAACGUGGUGUUCCUGUGGGCACUUGGCGUUGUCUUUAUGGUAUAUCUUGAGUCAUUGCAGUUCAAGAAACUACUUGAAACCAACACCCCUUCUCAUUAUCAUCCAUUCGAAAGUGUCUACACUGCAGAAACAGGAAUUGGUGGUGGACAUGAUGCAACUGAUCUUUUACACCACACAUAAGAUGAUUGUCUGGUUAAAUAUGCUAGUGGGAUGUACUAAUUGAGCAGAUCUAUCUAGGAUCAAAUUCCGGUGGCUGAGAUGCAGAAAUGGGUUGUGUGCUCCAUCCAAAAAUUGGCCCUAUGUACUGGUCAAUUGUGAAGUCUGGCUUGUACCAGGAAUUAAUGGCUUCAUUUGCUAAAUUACUGUCUAUUAUCUAUUCUCUGUAGACAUUUGUCAGCUGGCAUGAGAACAGAGCGACUUGUUUGGUAUUGACCCUGGCAGUCAAUCGUGGGUUCAUUUGCUUAUGCCUUUCAAGCGGGCACGUUGAGGCAGGUCACCUCUUGGUUGUGUACUUGUGUGUGUACACCUCAUUUCAGUAUUGUUUACUUAUGCCCCAUAUUGUCAGUUUGAGAUUUCAACUUUAAA